CAGGUUACAGCAGGCAAUUUCAGCAUCCAGGCUUGCAGAAAAUUACAUUCUCAAAGUGCUGUUACAUUCCCUGAGUGCUUCUCCUAAUGGCUUCUUGACUCUGUUUUAGUUGGGUGUGACAAGAAUGACCCAAUUCACAUCACUUAUUGGAUAUAUGAUUUGCAAAUGUCUUUUCCUAUUGUGUAGGCUGUCUUUUCACUUUAACGGAGGGAACUCUUCAUGUAGAAGGUGACAUGUGGGAUAGCUCCUGAAAUGAAUGGCAAAAAUAGAAUAAAGCUAAAAACUACUAAAAUAAGAAUAUGCAUUAUAAUAUGUAUGAUAAACAGAUUGUGUGAUUAGGGCUGUUGCUCAACCAUCUGUGCUGUGUAUUUUUGUUUGCAGAUCUAUGAUAACUUUCUGUGUUUCAAGUGUCACUGUUUAAGCUACUCUAAAUUAAAGAAGAGCAAAUUAAAAAGGCAAAUUAAAGAAGAACAGCAAUCUCUUUCUUGCUUCCUAUAUUGAUCAAUUCCCCUGAUGAAUGGUUUGCCAAUUAUCUAUAAAUACAUUGUGUCCCCAUAUCGCUGUGAACACUGUGAACGCCCUCCGCUGCACCUUCUGAAGCGUGAAUGUUUCUUCUUUGGCAAAAGUAGAACUGAGUAAAUAAACCUUGCCUCAGUGGAGAGAGACACUUUGGAAUGACCUUCUGCCUGAAAAGUUCAUCCAGAGAGUCAUCACUUUGUACCCCUGAUCAGCGUGCUAAGCAAAGAGCAGCUGUGACUCAGCCUGGUGACUGAAGAGAUGGUUCCUGGUUCUUUUAUAGGGCACCUGUGUCCAUUUUGCUGCUGUGGACAUCCAUCUUUACUCAACAUUCCUAAAUUAAAAUUGAAGGCUUUAGGAAGAGUUGUUAUUAUUAUAAAGCUAUCUUAAGAAAUAAUAGCCUUUAAAAUUUAUUAACACAUUCUUAACAAAUGUUAUUGGGACAGGAAAAUGAAGCAAACAAAAAGACAUGAACAGAAGGGAUUCUGUAGGAUUUGUAGUUGAUUCAUUCAUUCUCUUUCUUUCAGUCCAUUUUUUUCUCCUCUCUCUUUUUCUUCCUCCCUUCCUUCCCUACCAUUCUCUCCCCUCCCUCCCUUCCCAUUUCCUUUUCUCUCCUCUCCAACACUGGUUACUGAAAAUGCUUUACUUAAUGAUUUUGUAAUGUCAGGACAUGCUCUGGCAACCUCUCAAAUACUUGGAAGGAUUAAUAUGAAGGAACAGGCUGGCAGCUUGCUGAAUUCAUUUAAACAACAAAUGCUAUGGAACAAACAAUUGUAAAAAUGAGUGCCAGCUGGUUUUUUAAAGUAACUUUUCUUACUUAACUGAAGGCUGGUAUCAAUUGAACUAAUUCAAUGCAGAAGGGCCAUCUUCAUGCUGUUAACUCCAAAGAAAUGUUGAGUUAUUGUUUUUUGCAAUAGUGGUGUACACAGCCUAUUUCACUCUAUCUUGGUAUCUGUUUUCACAAAACCAUCACAAGAACCCAGAUAUAACUCAAAUCCAGUCUGUCCAUUACACACAGAUUAAAAUUCCAGACAUAAAACUAAAUCUGUUUUUUUCAAAUGAAAAAUAAUUUUAAUUGACAAGUAGAAAUGAUCUUUACUGAUCAUAUACAACACAUCCUUUUGGAAUACGUAUACAUUGUAAAAUGGCUAAAUUGAGCUAAUUAACAUACUUAUUUUUUAGGGAAUGAGAAUACUUAACAUUUCUCGGCAAUUUUCAAGACUAUAAUAUAUUGAUAUUAACUAUAGUCACCAUGUUUUACGAUAAAUCUAUUUAACUUAUUCCUCCUAUCUAACUUAAACUUUGUGUCCUUUGACCAACAUCUCAAUUGCCUCCUCGACUCCAGUUCCCUGGUAACUACCAUUUUACUCCUUACUUGUAUGAGUUCAACGUUUUUAGAUUCCAAGUAUAAGUGAGAACAUGCAGUAUUUUUCUGUACCUGGUUUAUUUCACUUAAUAUCUCCUAGAUUUAUCUAUGUUGUCACAAAUGACAACAUUUUCGUUUUCUCAGGGUCAAGUAGUACUCCAUUGUGCAUAUAUACCAUAUUUUCUUUAUCCAUUCCUAUACUGAUGGAUACUUAUUUUGAGUCCAUAUCUUGGCUAUUGUGAAUAAUGCUGUAAUGAACAGGGGAGUGUAGCUAUCUCUUUGACAUACUGAUUUCAUUUCCUUUGUAUGUGUAUCCAGAAGUAGGAUUGCUGGAUCAUGUGGUAGUUCUAUUUUUAAUUUUUUGAGGAACCUUUAUGCUAUUUCCCAUAAGUACAGCACUAAUUGACAUUCACACUAACAAUGUACAAGAAUUCUCUGUUCUCCACAUCCUCACCAAAAUUUAUCUUUUGUCUUUUUGAUAAUAGUUAUUAUAUCAGGUGUGAGGUGAUAUCUCAUUGUGGUUUUAAUUUGCUUUCUCUGAUGAUUAGUAAUAUUGGGCAUUUUUCAUAUGCCUGUUGGCCACUUGUGUGACUUCUUUUGAGAAAUGUUUAUUCAGAUCUGUUUCCCAUUUUUAACCUGGGUUAUUUGUUUUCUAACUAUUGAGUUGUUUGAGUUCCUUAGAGAUGUUGAACCCUCAUCAGAUGUAUGGUUUGCAAAUGUUUUCUCCCAUUGCAUAGGUUGUCUCUCUACUGUGUUGAUUGUUUCCUUGACUGUGUCCAUUACACACAAAUUAAAAUCACAGUAAUUAAACCACAUCUCUAUUAUUAGCUGGAUUUCAUGGGGGCACGUUUCACUGUAAGCAUUUUGGAUUCAGAGCUUUUCUGGUUACUUUGGGUAAAGGCCCCUAAGCGGCAGGAUGCUUCUCCUCCAGGAUUCCUUGGUUUCUGAUCUCUGAACUAGCUAUGUUCUUCAGCUACUUUUCAAACAAAAAUGAAUAACUUGCUGACUCACUGACUUUACACACAAAAGUAUAAGAAACAACUUUCUUGGCAGAGGGGUUCAUUUAAUGUUCUCUAAACUUAUUCUCCUUUGUGGCCCUGUUCUAGCAGCUGUUUUUUAUCUUUAUUAUUUAUUAAUAGGGUUAUGGCACACCAUAGAUUUUUGAACCUCUCUCUCUCUCUGGAGCUUAAAUUAUUGCCUGAUAGGAAAACUAUCAAAUCAUAUUGAUUGUUUCAGGUCUCAGAGAUGUUUCUCCUGAGCUAAUUUUCUUCCUCUUCCAUUUGUCUCUUACCCAGGAGAGAAAAUACAACCCAGAGUGUGUUAGAGGUGAAUUGCUUCAUGAAUUGCUUCAUGGAGCUUGCUGGCAUUGAUCAACACAGGAUUCUGCCCUUUUCUUUUGUGGCAGUUUCCUGCUUAGAUAAAUUUUUCAUUGCUGUGGUUUUAACGACUUAUUUUUAUUUUUUCUUUUUACAAAGUAAUAAAUGUGCAUGGAAGUACUUCAAGUAGUACAAAGUGUAUACAGUAAGUCUCCUUCCACCCACUGAGACCCAGUCCUCCAGCUCAUCUCCCAAGAGGAGCGUCCCUAAAACUUCCCAUUACAGAGACAAAUUUCAUUUCUUCGUCCUGUAAUUCAGAGCUCUCCAUGAUCUUUCUUGAACCUCUUUCCCUCUUUUCUAACCCCUACUCCUGGCACAUACCCCCUACUGUCACCAUAUCUGCUAUCCUGCUCCUGGAUGAGUCCUGGGUUUGCUCCUGGGUUUUCCCUGGGAAACACAGGUCUUUGCUCUGCUGGUCCCGUCUGGCAGGGUGUCCUCUGUUCUCCUCCCAAAGCCUGCCCAGCUUCAAAACUCUGCUCAGAUCUAACCUGCCUUGCAAGGUCUUCAGAAUUUCCCUAGUCUGAAAGUGAUCAUGUUCUCCUUUUUCAUCUUGUCAUGAAGCAUGAUGGCUGAUUUUCUAGUAUUCAUCUGAUGUGUUUGUCUCCACUACUAAGCUGUAAGAUCUGAGGGGGAAGGAAUUAAGAAACUUCAACUCUAGGCUCAGCUCAGCCAUUAAUAACCAUGUGCCCCAGAAAAAGCCACUAUACUUCUCUGAGCCCAGUUUUCUUAUCAGUCACAACAUUUUUGAAAACAAAUAGCCAAGCCUUACAAGACUCAAGAAGAAAGCAGUAGCUCGUGCUGCCUCUAUGUUCUUAAAGUAGGGAAACAUAUUCUUUCUUUCCUAUGUAAAUGAAAAUAAACAUUUCAAGUAAAUAAAUUAGGUUAUUACUGUCUCUAAGAACUACAAGCCUCAUGGAAAUACAAAGAAUGUGUUUAUUGAAGUAUAUGAAGUAAACACUGAGAAUUAUAAAUCUGAGCGAUUAAUCCAGAAUCCCAAGUUCCAUGGAAUGUUUAAUUAUGUACCAAUACCCUCCAUUCAAGUAAACAACUUGCAGGUUGAUUGAAUUCAUGGAC
This 4332-nucleotide long non-coding RNA is filed under the name Homo sapiens (human). Its description in RNAcentral is "HSALNT0139438". The record is from RNAcentral. Lineage: Eukaryota; Metazoa; Chordata; Mammalia; Primates; Hominidae.